RNAcentral lists this ribosomal RNA (449 nucleotides) under uncultured bacterium. RNAcentral describes it as "bacterial SSU rRNA". It matches the Rfam family "Bacterial small subunit ribosomal RNA", at positions 328 to 793 of the family's 1533-position model. The record is from RNAcentral.
UCAGUCGACUCCUACGGGAGGCAGCAGUGGGAAUCUUAGACAAUGGGCGCAAGCCUGAUCUAGCCAUGCCGCGUGAGUGAUGAAGGCCUUAGGGUCGUAAAGCUCUUUCGCCAGGGGAUGAUAAUGACAGUACCUGGUAAAGAAACCCCGGACUAACUCCGUGCCAGCAGCCGCGGUAAGUACGGAGGGGUUAGCGUUGUUCGGAAUUACUGGGCGUAAAGCGCGCGUAGGCGGAUUAGUCAGUUAGAGGUGAAAUCCCAGGGCUCAACCCUGGAACUGCCUUUAAUACUGCUAGUCUUGAGUUCGAGAGAGGUGAGUGGAAUUCCGAGUGUAGAGGUGAAAUUCGUAGAUAUUCGGAGGAACACCAGUGGCGAAGGCGGCUCACUGGCUCGAUACUGACGCUGAGGUGCGAAAGUGUGGGGAGCAAACAGGAUUAGAUACCCUGGUAG